Molecule: ribosomal RNA, 497 nt
Filed under: uncultured bacterium
Lineage: Bacteria
Description: partial 16S ribosomal RNA
Rfam family: Bacterial small subunit ribosomal RNA
Source: RNAcentral
GAUGAACGCUGGCGGCGUGCCUAAUACAUGCAAGUCGAGCGAACAGAUGAGGAGCUUGCUCCUCUGACGUUAGCGGCGGACGGGUGAGUAACACGUGGAUAACCUACCUAUAAGACUGGGAUAACUUCGGGAAACCGGAGCUAAUACCGGAUAAUAUAUUGAACCGCAUGGUUCAAUAGUUAAAGACGGUUUUGCUUUCACUUAUAGAUGGAUCCGCCCCGCAUUAGCUAGUUGGUAAGGUAACGGCUUACCAAGGCAGCGAUGCGAAGCCGACCUGAGCGGGAGGUCGGCCACACUGGAACUGAGACACGGUCCAGACUCCUGCGGGGAGCAGCAGUAGGGAAUCUUCCGCGAUGGGGGAAAGCCUAACGGAGCAACGCCGCGUGAGUGAUGAAGGUCUUCGGAUCGUAAAACUCUGUUAUUAGGGAAGAACAAAUGUGUAAGUAACUAUGCACGUCUUGACGGUACCUAAUCAGAAAGCCACGGCUAACUACGUG